AACCCCUGUGAACAUACCUAUACGUUGCCUCGGCGGAUCAGCCCGCGCCCCGUAAAACGGGACGGCCCGCCCGAGGACCCCUAAACUCUGUUUUUAGUGGAACUUCUGAGUAAAACAAACAAAUAAAUCAAAACUUUCAACAACGGAUCUCUUGGUUCUGGCAUCGAUGAAGAACGCAGCAAAAUGCGAUAAGUAAUGUGAAUUGCAGAAUUCAGUGAAUCAUCGAAUCUUUGAACGCACAUUGCGCCCGCCAGUAUUCUGGCGGGCAUGCCUGUUCGAGCGUCAUUUCAACCCUCAAGCUCAGCUUGGUGUUGGGACUCGCGGUAACCCGCGUUCCCCAAAUCGAUUGGCGGUCACGUCGAGCUUCCAUAGCGUAGUAAUCAUACACCUCGUUACUGGUAAUCGUCGCGGCCACGCCGUUAAACCCCAACUUCUGAAUGUUGACCUCGGAUCAGGUAGGAAUACCCGCUGAACUUAAGCAUAUC
RNAcentral lists this ribosomal RNA (485 nucleotides) under Fusarium incarnatum. Its description in RNAcentral is "eukaryotic LSU rRNA". The stretch from base 132 to 285 matches the Rfam family "5.8S ribosomal RNA". Lineage: Eukaryota; Fungi; Ascomycota; Sordariomycetes; Hypocreales; Nectriaceae. The record is from RNAcentral.